GUUUAUAGCAGUUCCCCGUCGCAUCAACAUAGAAGUCCACCACCUCCUACCCACAAAAUUUCACCUGUAACUCGUCACGCUCCACCUCCUCCACCUCCACCAAGUCCGGUAUAUUAUCACCACCCAUCACCACCACCUCCACAACCAGUAUAUUACGCGCCACCAACAUAUAAACCUCAAUCACCACCACCACCUCCACCACCAGUACAUUACGAGCCACCAACGUACACACCUCAAUCACCACCACCACCUCCACCAGUACAUUACGAGCCACCACCAUACACACCUCAAUCACCACCACCUCCACCAGUACAUUACGAACCACCAACGUACACACCUCAAUCGCCACCACCACCAGUAUAUGUGACACCGUCUUCACCACCACCACCAGUAUAUGAGCAUCCAAAACCUCCAACUCCAACUCCAUCACCACCAGCUGGGUACACACCUCCCCAGGAGCCAUCACAUCCUGCCCCACCUACCCCACCUUGUAACGAGACACCACCCCCACCACCUAGUACCCCACAUUGGCAACCAAAACCAUCUCCUCCCCCUACAUAUAACCCAUCACCAUCAUAUACCCAAAGCCCCCCGCCGCCACCUCCUACUUACACCUACUCUUC
This 623-nucleotide long non-coding RNA is filed under the name Nicotiana tabacum (common tobacco). RNAcentral describes it as "long non-coding RNA (NTAB_LNC000114)". The record is from RNAcentral. Lineage: Eukaryota; Viridiplantae; Streptophyta; Magnoliopsida; Solanales; Solanaceae.